This is a long non-coding RNA of Aplysia californica (California sea hare), 370 nucleotides long. RefSeq lists it as uncharacterized. The transcript is spliced from 3 exons. The record is from RefSeq and is a predicted model, not a curated record. Lineage: Eukaryota; Metazoa; Mollusca; Gastropoda; Aplysiida; Aplysiidae.
GUACGAUUAGAGACGAAAAUAGUCUAAACAAAUAGUCGCGGAAAUGGGACACCGGAAAUAGAGAGAGAGCGACGACUCCCACCCGCCUACACUGGCCAGGGAGGAAAAAGUCCCGCAGAGAUGGAAACUUUUACCUUGGACAGCUGCAGACAGACCUGGCACCUGUAUUAACUCAUGAGGACGGAAAAGCAGACAGGCAAAUAGAGGGACAGACUGACUGAAAAACAGAAGACAUACAGUUCUUGGAAAUAUGUCUCGCCGGCAGCUGUCUGCGCCAGAGGACUGAGGCUCGACGGAAAACAAGGAAAUAAUGAUUCAGUUGUUGGUGUGGUUUAUUUCUUUGGAGAAAAUAAAUGCCUGUUUGAUAAUA